Panaeolus papilionaceus is the source of this 103-nucleotide non-coding RNA. NCBI's taxonomy places the organism in Eukaryota, Fungi, Basidiomycota, Agaricomycetes, Agaricales. The record is from the annotation of a GenBank genome assembly.
GAUGGGUUGGCGUAAUGGCAACGCGUCAGUUUCCGGAAUCUAAGUCUCAAAGACUUAGUUAUAGGCCAGCUGAAGUAUCCGGGUUCGACCCCCGGGCCUGUCG